GGUGAACGCUGGCGGUAGGCCUAACACAUGCAAGUCGAACGGCAGCACAGUAAGAGCUUGCUCUUACGGGUGGCGAGUGGCGGACGGGUGAGAAAUACAUCGGAAUCUACUUUUUCGUGGGGGAUAACGUAGGGAAACUUACGCUAAUACCGCAUACGACCUACGGGUGAAAGCAGGGGAUCUUCGGACCUUGCGCGAUUGAAUGAGCCGAUGUCGGAUUAGCUAGUUGGCGGGGUAAAGGCCCACCAAGGCGACGAUUCGUAGCUGGUCUGAGAGGAUGAUCAGGGAGACGGGAAAUGAGAAAAGGGCAAGAACACUACGGGAGGCCGCAGUGGGGAAUAUUGGACAAUGGGCGGAAGAGUGAUACAGCCAUGGCGAGUGUGUGAAGAAGGUCUGCGGAUUGUAAAGCAUGUUAAGUUGGGAGGAAGGGCAGGAAGUUAAUACCUUGCUGUGUUGACGUUACCAACAGAAUAAGCACCGGCUAACUUCGUG
RNAcentral lists this ribosomal RNA (492 nucleotides) under uncultured bacterium. Its description in RNAcentral is "partial 16S ribosomal RNA". It matches the Rfam family "Bacterial small subunit ribosomal RNA", at positions 28 to 507 of the family's 1533-position model. The record is from RNAcentral.